UGUCCCUCCAAGGCCGGUCCUCGCCUCCCUGCCCCUCUUUGCUCUGCUCCGUUUCAGCUGUGCAUCCUUAAGUGAUUCAGGGGCUCCGGGCCAAAGGGCUCUUUGCCCCGCUGGGCUGAUCCCGAGGAGAAACGGUGAUGUGCCAGGAGGCCUGGGAGGCGAAUGUCAUUUCAUCACUGUUCUCCCUGGAGAGUAAUGUCCGUAGCCAGACAUAUGCUCAUGGCCUGGAAUGAAGUCGACUGCAAUUACAUCCUGAGGGAGUCACUCAACAGGGGUUUUGUGGAGGCAGGACGCAGGCUGUGGUGGAGCUGCACAUGUGCUGUUAGACCUCCGACUGCACUCCCUCUGCCUUCAGCUUUGUGGGAACGAGGAGCAGCAGGCUCAGAAGUACAGCCAGUCUGGUGCACAUCUGGAGGCAGUAAUUGGAGGCUCCCAUGAGGAGAGUGAUGCUUGUGCCUUGGACCUGCUGCCUCCCAGUCACCUACCGGGAGUUCCCCUCUUCCUGGACAGUCUUCCUGCCUGUGGAGUUCACCUCUGAGCCAGGCCUCCCAUAAUUAAAGCAAGCCUUGCUUUUGACUUUCUGCAAGCUCUGGAUUUCUGCAAGGCCUUUCCAGGACUUGCAGCUUUCCUCCAGCUCAGCCCUUGCAAGCCAAAUGAUGAGGCUUCCAGGGCUUCUCCCGUGGGAUGGCUCCAGUGCAUGCAUCUCACUGUCAGGAAGCUUUUCCUGACACUCAGCCGAAAUUUCCCCCUUUUCAAAUGUCAUCCUGGC
Molecule: long non-coding RNA, 769 nt
Filed under: Zonotrichia albicollis (white-throated sparrow)
Lineage: Eukaryota; Metazoa; Chordata; Aves; Passeriformes; Passerellidae
Description: lncRNA (ENSZALG00000014546.1)
Source: RNAcentral